Molecule: ribosomal RNA, 254 nt
Filed under: uncultured bacterium
Lineage: Bacteria
Description: partial 16S ribosomal RNA
Rfam family: Bacterial small subunit ribosomal RNA
Source: RNAcentral
CACGUAGGGUGCGAGCGUUGUCCGGAAUUAUUGGGCGUAAAGAGCUCGUAGGCGGUGUGUCGCGUCGGCCGUGAAAACUUGGGGCUUAACUCUGAGCGUGCGGUCGAUACGGGCAUCACUUGAGUUCGGCAGGGGAGACUGGAAUUCCUGGUGUAGCGGUGAAAUGCGCAGAUAUCAGGAGGAACACCGGUGGCGAAGGCGGGUCUCUGGGCAUUAACUGACGCUGAGGAGCGAAAGCGUGGGGAGCGAACAGG